AAUAUGAAAUUAAAAUCAUUUUUGUUUUCUUCCAGAUCAGUUUCAACAUAUCAAGCUUGUAUACUUACAGUUAUCGCAGAGCAAAAGUAGUGGGAUAUAUGGUGGUUAAGCAAAAGAGGGGUACUCAUACAAGUCGGCCUGAUUUUGAAAUUUAGACAAGCCAUGAACAUUUCUACACUUUCGAAUGGGGUCACUUAAAAUCUGUCAAUCACAGAAGUCCUCUCGAUGAUCUGGUAGUACUGGAAAAAGAGCAUGCGACCUUAAAAUUUCACUCCUCGAGUGCUCUUGGAUUAAGAUUGGGGAAUUUCUGUUAGAAAAAACAAAAAAACCGCAGAAAACGAAAUACUGAGUGCAAGGUGCUGUUACCAACUAGAUAUUCUUAUUAGAAGAUAACCUGGGACAAGAAAAGGAAACGUUAUAUGUGUAAAUGAAUAAAAUAGACUUAAAUAUAUCAAAGUGAUAUUAUAAAUAGUAUAUAAAUAGAUAUAUAUAUAUAUAUAUAUCAAAGAAGUUUUUGAUCAUGUUCUUGUUUAUUAUUUUAGUUCAAUAAAUUUUUGGAAGAAUAUA
Molecule: long non-coding RNA, 567 nt
Organism: Stegodyphus dumicola
Lineage: Eukaryota; Metazoa; Arthropoda; Arachnida; Araneae; Eresidae
Source: RefSeq, a predicted model, not a curated record